CAGCAGCCGCGGGAAUACGAAGGGGGCUAGCGUUGUUCGGAAUUACUGGGCGUAAAGGGCGCGUAGGCGGCCAUUCAAGUUAGAUGUGAAAGCCCUGGGCUCAACCUAGGAAUUGCAUUUGAUACUGUUUGGCUUGAGUUCGGGAGAGGUGAGUGGAAUUCCCAGCGUAGAGGUGAAAUUCGUAGACAUUGGGAAGAACACCAGUGGCGAAGGCGGCUCACUGGACCGACACUGACGCUGAGGCGCGAAAGCGUGGGGAGCAAACAGGAUUAGAUACCCGCGUAGUCCCUGUCUCUUAUAC
Molecule: ribosomal RNA, 301 nt
Filed under: uncultured bacterium
Lineage: Bacteria
Description: partial 16S ribosomal RNA
Rfam family: Bacterial small subunit ribosomal RNA
Source: RNAcentral